GAGGAAUGUAUAGCAAUAGCUACUUGCAUCAUAGUAGAUAUGAUGCAAGAUCGACUAUGUUGAAUAAAAUUCUAGGUAGAAUUAUGAUAAUGACAUUGUCUGCCUAUGUGUCUUGACCAAAUUACGUGCCAGCAGUCGCGGUAAUACGUAGAAGACUAGUGUUAUUCAUGUUUAAUCGGUUUAAAGGGUACCUAGACGGUAGAUCAAGCUUUCUAAUAAAGGAAAAGGACUAAUUUACUAGAGUUACUUAUGAGGGGGUAUUAAAGUACUGCUGGUGUAGAGAUGAAAUUCUGUCAUACCUCUUUUCAAAAGAAAAACCAUGGCACAGGUAUAGGCGAAGGCAUCCCCUUAUGUGAUAACUGACGUUGAGGGACGAAGGCUUUGUGUAGCGAACAGGAUUAGAUACCCCAGUAGUCGAAGCAGAAAAUGAUGAAUGUCAUAGAUUAGAUAUAUAAGUUUAUUCUAUAAAUGAAAGUGUAAGCAUUCCACCUCAUGAGUAAUUUGGCAACAUUGGAACUGAAAUCAUUAGACCGUUUCUGAAACCAGUAGUGAAGUAUGUUGUUUAAUUUGAUGAUCCGCAAAAAACCUUACCACAAUUUGAAUAUUUAUAUUAUUUAUUGUUUUAUUAUUAAUAUUCUUAUAGUAAGAAUAUUAAUAAUAAGGCAAUAAGAUAUAUUUACAAGCGUUGCACGGCUGGCUUCAGUNANUGUCGCGAGACUUUGNAUAGUUCCANNAAAUUNACGUAANCCCUUACUUUAUUUUUAUAUAGAGCAGCUCCCCGCUAUAUUGGAUAUGAU
RNAcentral lists this ribosomal RNA (797 nucleotides) under Xanthoparmelia crespoae. Its description in RNAcentral is "SSU rRNA". It matches the Rfam family "Bacterial small subunit ribosomal RNA", at positions 356 to 1146 of the family's 1533-position model. Lineage: Eukaryota; Fungi; Ascomycota; Lecanoromycetes; Lecanorales; Parmeliaceae. The record is from RNAcentral.